RNAcentral lists this ribosomal RNA (253 nucleotides) under uncultured bacterium. RNAcentral describes it as "partial 16S ribosomal RNA". It matches the Rfam family "Bacterial small subunit ribosomal RNA", at positions 524 to 776 of the family's 1533-position model. The record is from RNAcentral.
UACGAAGGGGGCGAGCGUUGUUCGGAAUCACUGGGCGUAAAGGGCGCGUAGGCGGCUCUCCAAGUCAGGCGUGAAAGCCCCGGGCUUAACCUGGGAACGGCGCUUGAGACUGGUGAGCUUGAGUUCGGGAGAGGAUGGUGGAAUUCCCAGUGUAGAGGUGAAAUUCGUAGAGAUUGGGAAGAACACCGGUGGCGAAGGCGGCCAUCUGGACCGACACUGACGCUGAGGCGCGACAGCGUGGGGAGCAAACAGG